CUUCUCAAACAGUUCCUCCAAC
Molecule: non-coding RNA, 22 nt
Filed under: Rattus norvegicus (Norway rat)
Lineage: Eukaryota; Metazoa; Chordata; Mammalia; Rodentia; Muridae
Source: RNAcentral